UGGGAAAUAUUGGACAAUGGGGGCAACCCUGAUCCAGCCAUGCCGCGUGUGUGAAGAAGGCCUUUUGGUUGUAAAGCACUUUAAGCAGUGAAGAAGACUCCAUGGUUAAUACCCAUGGACGAUGACAUUAGCUGCAGAAUAAGCACCGGCUAACUCUGUGCCAGCAGCCGCGGUAAUACAGAGGGUGCAAGCGUUAAUCGGAAUUACUGGGCGUAAAGCGAGCGUAGGUGGCUUGAUAAGUCAGAUGUGAAAGCCCCGGGCUUAACCUGGGAACGGCAUCUGAUACUGUUAGGCUAGAGUAGGUGAGAGGAAGGUAGAAUUCCAGGUGUAGCGGUGAAAUGCGUAGAGAUCUGGAGGAAUACCGAUGGCGAAGGCAGCCUUCUGGCAUCAUACUGACACUGAGGUUCGAAAGCGUGGGUAGCAAACA
RNAcentral lists this ribosomal RNA (427 nucleotides) under uncultured bacterium. RNAcentral's name for it is "partial 16S ribosomal RNA". It matches the Rfam family "Bacterial small subunit ribosomal RNA", at positions 355 to 774 of the family's 1533-position model. The record is from RNAcentral.